CUCCCUCCCGCGUCUUCCUCGGGCGGCAGGACCUCUUACCCGCCUUCAGCCUCCCCGGAACUGGGCUCAACUGUCGGAGCAGCAGAGAUCCCCUCUCCAGGAGGAGCGGCUGCUCCCGCUGCCACCGGCUUCAUCUCCCCCUCUUCUGCCCCUGUUGCAUUUGCGACCGCUCCUGGGCCAGGCCCGGCACCCGCUUCCUGGCCAGGUCCUGCUCCUGCCGCCGCCAUCACGGCCACCCCUGGACUUCUCGCGAGAAUACUCUCUUCUCUCGCGCGCGUUGCUGUGUGACGCUGUAGUCUUCAAACAGAAAAAGCCCGCGGUGCGUCCACCGCCUGCCUGAGGAAGCAUAAUUCCACGACCGCUUUAAGGCCAGGCGCGCGGGCAGAGGUGGGCCGGCCUCCCGCGCCGGCGGUGGCCGCGGGCCUGGCAGGCUGAAGGUGGAGGAAGCUAGAUGGUUAGUGCGGCUCUCUGGAGGACUUCCUUUCGAGUCAGGGACUGACGCGGCGUAUUUUCGUGGCUACGACUGGAUAUUCUGCGCAGAAGAGGGUCCUUGAGAGCGCUGGCCGUGCCGUGCCGCCAAACACUCCUCACCACCGAAUGUGGGAAACGUCUUCCUUGGAGUCUAGCACUCCCUGCCCGCCCCGGAUGGAAUUUGGUUUUCUGCGCAGGGUCGCCCCUUGGAGCCCGUUUCCAAAUGAUUUUAAGAGGGAAGGGAAUCUAGGGAGGCCGAUUCCAGGGGCGAGGGUGGAAAACCCAGGCCGGGCAGCCGAGGAGCGGCGUGGGCACUAGAAGCGGCUCGCCGCUUCCUACUGUGAGAGGCGGAAAGCGAAGCCCCGGGGUGUGCCGGGGCACUCGGAAUGUAGACAAGUUUGGUGCCCAGCGAAAGGAAGAGGUGUGGACUGAAAGUACGAACUUGGGAAGUCAUCAACAGUAGCUGGUGGCUGGCAUCAGUGGAGUGAGUUGAGUCUUUCAGAGCCAUGGUCUCCAAACUCGAGAAUGCAAACCUCUGAGAGUGUUGCGGCCAGGAACGUUUUCAGGACACCAGUGUUUAUCCUAUAUCCUAAAAUGUUGCCUAACGAUAAUACACUCUUCUCCCGCUUUACACAAGAACGGCGCACCCCUCGCCAAUCCUCAGUCUAAUCUUACUGUGAUGUGUCCACCGAUAGUGUAGGAAUCUCUGGGCCACUGGACGCCAUGGGAAAUACGUAGAUAUUGAUUUCCCAAUUGGUUCUCAAUUAUUGGUUUUCAACAAAAUUGAAGAAAGACCUAACUGAGUUGCCAGGUUACAUUUUUAAAAUUGAUGAUAAAUACUUAAAUCAGGGGUUGGUACUCCAAAGAGAAGCAGGAUGCUUGAUCUAAGUAUCUCCUCCCAAAUACGUAGUAUUGUAGCAGUUUUAACAUAUGGUCGCAGAAUUUUGUGUUUUCUUGUUGUUGUUUGUUUGAGACAGAGUCUCGCUCUGUCGCCCAGGCUGGAGCGCAGUGGCCCGAUCACGGCUCACUGCAACCUCCACCCCAGGUUCAAGCGAUUCUCCUACCUCAGCCUCCCGAGUAGCUGAGAUUACAGGUAUCUGUCACCACGCCCGGCUAAUUUUUGUUAGUAGAGGCGGGGUUUCACCAUGUUGGCCAGGCUGGUGUCGAUCUCCUGACCUCAAGUGAUCCACCCACCUGGGCCUCCCAAAGUGCUGGGAUUACAGGUGUGAGCCACCGCGCACGGCUUUUUUUUUUUUUUUUUGAAACGGAGUCUCGGUUUGUCGCCCAGGCUGAGUGCAGUAGCGCGAUCUCAGCUCACUGCAACCUCCACCUCGCGGUUUCGGGUUCAAGCGAUUCUCUUGCCUCAGCCUCCCGAGUUGCUGGGAUUACAGGCACGCGCCAUGACGCCUGGCUAAUUUUUGUAUCUUUAGUAGAGACGGGGUUUCACCUGUGUGUUUUUUUUUUUUUUUUCUGAGACAGAGUCUCGCACUGUCGCUCAGGCUGGAGUGCAGCAGUGGCGGCAUCAUACCUCACUGCCGCCUCAAGUUCCCCGGGUAAAGCAAUCCUCCUGCCUUAGCCUCCUGAGUAGCAGGGACUAUAGGCACGAGCCACCACGCCCAGCUAAUAUUCUUUUUUUUUUUUUUCUUUUUGAGACGGAGUGUUGCUCUGUCGCCCAGGCUGGAGUGCAGUGGUGCAAUCUCCGCUCACUGCAAGCUCCACCUCCCGGGUUCACACCAUUCUCCUGCCUCAGCCUCCCGAGUAGCUGGGACUACAGGCGCCCGCCACCGCGCCCAGCUAAUUUUUUGUAUUUUUAAUAGAGACAGGGUUUUUGCCGUUUUUUAGCCAGGAUGGUCUCAAUCUCCUGACCUUGUGAUCCGCUGCCUCGGCCUCCCAAAGUGCUGGGAUUACAGGCGUGAGCCACUGCUCCCGGCACGCCCAGCUAAUUUUCUUAAUUUUUAGUAGAGACAGGGUCUCAUCAUGUUGCUCAGACUAGUCUCCAACUCCCGAGCUCAAGCGAUCCUCUUGCCUGGGCUUUCCAGCGUGCUGGGAUUACAGGAGUGAGCCAUCAUGCCUCCACACAAAUUCUUUAAUACCCCCCUCCCCUUGAUUGUGUGGGCUGGACUCAGUGACUUGCUUCUAACUAAUAGAAUGUAGAAAAAGAAAAUAACAUGGCCAGACGCGGUGGCUCAUGCCUGUAAUCCCAGCACUUUGGGAGGCCGAGGCGGGCGGAUCACCUGAGGUCAGGAGUUCGAGACCAGCCUGACCAACAUGGAGAAACCCCGUGUCUACUAAAACUACAAAAUUAGCCAGGCGUGGUGGCGCAUGCCUGUAAUCCCAGCUACUCAGGAGGCUGGGGCAGGAGAAUCACUUGAACCCGGGAGGCGAGGUUACAGUGAGCCGAGAUCGCGCCAUUACACUCCAGCCUGGGCAACAAGAGUGAAACUACGUCUCAAAAAAAAAAAAAAAAAGAAAAAAAUAGUAAUUUUUAUUUUUUAUUUAUUUUCUUUUUCCUCUUGGUAGAAAAUAGUAGUUUUUACGGUGCAGAAAUGGGCGAACACACCACCUUACCCAAGUGGUCAGGUUAAUAUAACCAGUUAAAAAUUAUAGGCCGGGCGCAGUGGCCUACGCCUGUAAUCCCCGCACUUUGGGAGGCCGAGGCAGGUGGAUCACGAGGUCAGGAGAUCGAGACCAUCCUGGCUAACAAGGCAAAACCCCGUCUCUACUAAAAAUACAAAAAAUUAAGCGGGCGUGGUGGCGGGCGCCUGUAGUCCCAGCUACUUGGGAGGCUGAGGCAGGAGAAUGGCGUGAACCCAGGAGGUGGAGCUUGCAGUGAGCUGAGAUCGCACCACUGCACUCCACCCUGGGGGACAGAGCGAGACUCCGUCUCAAAAAAAAAAAAAUUAUAAAUAUACCCCCCGAUAUACAAUGAGAUGGCAACUUCAUCUCUUUGGUAUUCCCCAAAAUCCAUAAUCCAAGUCUAAUCAAGAGAAAGCAUCAGAUGAAUCCAAGUUGAAAGACAUUCUAGAAAAUAUGUUGGCUGGGUGCAGUGGCUCAUGCCUGUAAUCCCAGCACUUUGGGAGGCCAAGGCAGGAGGCAGGAAGAUUGCUUGAAGCUAGGAGUUCAAGACCAGCCUAGGCAGCAAAGCAAGACCCUGUCUCUAUAAAUUUUUUUUUUUUUUUGAGACAGAGUUUUGCUCUUGUUGCCCAGGGUGGAGUGCAAUGGCGUGAUCUUGGCUGACUGCAACCUCCGCCUCCUGGGUUCAAGCGAUUCUCCUGCCUCAGCCUCCUGAGUAGCUGGGAUUACAGGCAUGCACCACCAUGCCCAGCUAAUUUUGUGUUUUUAGUAGAGAUGGGGUUUUUCCAUGUUGGUCAGGGCUGGCCUGGAACUCCCGACCUCAGGUGAUCCACCUGCCUCGGCCUCCCAAAGUACUGAGAUAACAGGUACCCACCACCACACCAGGCUAAUUUUUUAUUUUAGUAGAGACGGGGUUUACCGUGUUGGCCAGGCUGGUCUCAUACUCCUGACCCCCAUGUGAUCCACCCACCUCAGCCCCCCAAAGUGCUGGGAUUACAGGCGUGAGCCACCAUACCUGGCCAGAAAAUUAAAACUUGAAAAAAAAAAAGGUGUUAGUGGUAGAUCACCAUAAUCUGACAUAGAACUUUUUUUUUUUUUUUUUUUUUGAGACUGAGUUUUGCUCUUGUUCCCCAGGCUAGAGUGCAAUGUGACGGUCUCAGCUCACUGCAACCUCCACCUCCAGUGUUCAAGAGAUUCUCCUGCCUCAGCCUCCUGAAUAGCUGGGAUUACAGGCAUGUGGCACCACGCCCAGCUAAUUUUUUGUAUUUUAAGUGGAGAUGGGGUUUCACCAUGCUGUCCAGGCUGGUCUGGAACUCCUGACCUCAGGUGAUCCACCCGCCUCGGCCUCCCAAAGUGUUGGGAUUACAGGCAUGAGCCAUUGUGCCUGGCCCUGACAUAGAACUUUGAAGGAGUUCAAAGAAUUGAGUUCCAUUGCUUCAUAAAUCCUGGGUGGGAAAAUGCUAAUUUAUGUAAAGAAAAGUUGUCAGCUCUUUUAUCUAUAAAAAUGAAAAAUGCUGGGUGUGGUGAUGCAUGCCUGUCCCAGCUAUUCGGGACAGGUGAAGUGAGAGGAUCUUGAGUCCAAGAGUUGGAGGCAAGCCUGGGCAACAUUAAUGCAAGCAACAUGGUGAGAACAAGUCUCUUAAAAAAAAAUGAAAAAUAGGCCAGGCAUGGUGUCUCACUCCUGUAAUCCCAGCACUUUCAGAGUCCGAGGUGGGUGGAUCACGAGGUCAGGAGAUAGAGACCAUCUGGCUAACACGGUGAAACCCUGUCUCUACUAAAAAUACAAAAAAAAAAAAAAAAAAAAAAAAGGUUAGCUGGGUGUGGUGGCACGCGCCUGUAGUCCCAGCUACUCGGGA
This 4901-nucleotide long non-coding RNA is filed under the name Homo sapiens (human). Its description in RNAcentral is "non-protein coding lnc-STAR-1:1". The record is from RNAcentral. Lineage: Eukaryota; Metazoa; Chordata; Mammalia; Primates; Hominidae.